UGGGGAAUAUUGGACAAUGGGGGAAACCCUGAUCCAGCGACGCCGCGUGAGUGAAGAAGUAUUUCGGUAUGUAAAGCUCUAUCAGCAAGGAAGAAAAUGACGGUACUUGACUAAGAAGCCCCGGCUAACUACGUGCCAGCAGCCGCGGUAAUACGUAGGGGGCAAGCGUUAUCCGGAUUUACUGGGUGUAAAGGGCGCGUAGGCGGGGAUACAAGUCAGGUGUGAAAUCUAUGGGCUUAACCCAUAAACUGCACUUGAAACUGUAUCUCUUGAGUGUCGGAGAGGUAGACGGAAUUCCUAGUGUAGCGGUGAAAUGCGUAGAUAUUAGGAGGAACACCAGUGGCGAAAGGCGGUCUACUGGACGAUAACUGACGCUGAGGCGCGAAAGCGUGGGGAGCAAACAGGAUUAGAUACCCUGGUAGU
RNAcentral lists this ribosomal RNA (423 nucleotides) under uncultured Clostridium sp. RNAcentral's name for it is "bacterial SSU rRNA". It matches the Rfam family "Bacterial small subunit ribosomal RNA", at positions 355 to 794 of the family's 1533-position model. Lineage: Bacteria; Bacillati; Bacillota; Clostridia; Eubacteriales; Clostridiaceae. The record is from RNAcentral.